Molecule: ribosomal RNA, 1461 nt
Filed under: uncultured archaeon
Lineage: Archaea
Description: 16S ribosomal RNA
Rfam family: Archaeal small subunit ribosomal RNA
Source: RNAcentral
ACUGCUAUCAGACUCCGAUUAAGCCAUGCAAGUCACCUCACUCACUUGGGUGGGGGGCGAAAGGCUGAGUAACACGUAGUUAACCUGCCCUCAGGACGUGGAUAACCUUGGGAAACUGAGGCUAACCCGCGAUAGGUGUCUUAUGCUGGAAUGCUUAGACAUCUAAAUCUCUGGUGAAUUGGAGCCAGUAGGCCUGAGGAUGGGACUGCGCGGGAUUAUGGUAGUUGGUGAGGUAAUGGCUCACCAAGCCGAUAAUCCCUAGGGGCCAUGGGAGUGGUGGCCCCCAGAAGGGCACUGAGACAAGGGCCCUAGCCCUACGGGGUGCAGCAGGCGCGAAACCUCUACAAUGCGCGAAAGCGUGAUAGGGGGAGUCUGAGUGGCGGCAGCUCAGCUGUCGUCUUUUGCCGAGUGUAAACAGCUCGGAGAAUAAGGGUGUGGGCAAACACACCCUUAUAGGCAGACAGUCUAUGGGGAGUGGCCCAAGACUGGUGGCAGCCGCCGCGGUAACACCAGCGCCUCAAGUGGUACCCACGAAUACUGGGUCUAAAGCGCCCGUAGCCGGAUAAGCAAGUCCAUUGUGAAAUGGUGGAGCUCAACUCCAUCGCGUGCAGUGGAUACUGCUUGUCUUGAGAACGGGGGAGGACCGGGGUACAUCCAGGGUAGGGGUAAAAUCCGUUGAUCCUGGAUGGACCACCAGUGGCGAAGGCGCCGGUCCAAAACGUGUCUGACGGUGAGGGGCGAAGGCUGGGGGAGCGAACGGGAUUAGAUACCCCGGUAGUCCCAGCUGUAAAUUAUGCCGACUGUGGUGUUGCAUAUGAGUAAUCAUAUGCAGUGCUGUAGCGUAGGUCUUAAGUCGGCCACCUGGGGAGUACGGUCGCAAGACUUAAACUUAAAGGAAUUGGCGGGGGAGCACCACAAGCCGUGGAUGCUACGGUUUAAUUGGAUACAACGCCGUGAAUCUCACCAGGGGAGACGGCAGAAUGAAGGCCAGUCUGAAGGGCUUGCCAGACAAGCCGAGAGGUAUUGCAUGGCCAUCGUCAGCUCGUGGUGUGAACUGUCCGGUUAAGUCCGGCAACGAGCGAGACCCAUGUCCUUAGUUGCUAAUUCAUCCUCCGGGAUGGAUGCACUUUAAGGAGACUGCCCGCGUUAAGUGGGAGGAAGGAGUGGGCGACGGUAGGUCAGUAUGGUCCGAAACUCCUUGGGCUACACGCGGCAUACAGUGGCGGGAACAAUGGGCUGCAACUCCGAGAGGAGAAGCUAAUCCCCUAAAUCCCGUCGUGGUCCGGAUUGAGGGUUGAAACCCACCCUCAUGAAGAUGGAAUGGCUAGUAAUCGUGGGUCAUCAUCCCACGGUGAAUGUGUCCCUGCUCCUUGCACACACCGCCCGUCAAGUCACCCAAAUGUUUUUUCGGUGAGGCCUCGGUUUUUGCCGAGUUCGAACCGGGGGAAUGUGAGGGGGGCU